This 253-nucleotide ribosomal RNA is filed under the name uncultured bacterium. RNAcentral describes it as "partial 16S ribosomal RNA". It matches the Rfam family "Bacterial small subunit ribosomal RNA", at positions 524 to 776 of the family's 1533-position model. The record is from RNAcentral.
GACAGAGGGUGCAAACGUUGUUCGGAAUUACUGGGCGUAAAGCGCGUGUAGGCGGCCAUGCAAGUCGGAUGUGAAAGCCCUCGGCUCAACCGGGGAACUGCAUGGGAAACUGCGGAGCUUGAGUCCGGGAGAGGAGAGCGGAAUUCCCAGUGUAGCGGUGAAAUGCGUAGAUAUUGGGAGGAACACCGGUGGCGAAGGCGGCGAUCUGGGCUGAUACUGACGCUGAGGUGCGAAAGCGUGGGGAGCAAACAGG